RNAcentral lists this ribosomal RNA (484 nucleotides) under uncultured bacterium. Its description in RNAcentral is "partial 16S ribosomal RNA". It matches the Rfam family "Bacterial small subunit ribosomal RNA", at positions 30 to 507 of the family's 1533-position model. The record is from RNAcentral.
AUUGAACGCUGGCGGCAGGCCUAACACAUGCAAGUCGAGCGGAUGAAGGGAGCUUGCUCCUGGAUUCAGCGGCGGACGGGUGAGUAAUGCCUAGGAAUCUGCCUGGUAGUGGGGGAUAACGUCCGGAAACGGGCGCUAAUACCGCAUACGUCCUGAGGGAGAAAGUGGGGGAUCUUCGGACCUCACGCUAUCAGAUGAGCCUAGGUCGGAUUAGCUAGUUGGUGGGGUAAAGGCCUACCAAGGCGACGAUCCGUAACUGGUCUGAGAGGAUGAUCAGUCACACCGGAACUGAGACACGGUCCAGACUCCUACGGGAGGCAGCAGUGGGGAAUAUUGGACAAUGGGCGAAAGCCUGAUCCAGCCAUGCCGCGUGUGUGAAGAAGGUCUUCGGAUUGUAAAGCACUUUAAGUUGGGAGGAAGGGCAGUAAGUUAAUACCUUGCUGCUUUGACGUUACCAACAGAAUAAGCACCGGCUAACUUCGUG